GAGGGUAGAGCUCAAGCAGUAGAGUGCAUGCUUGGCAUGCAUGAGGUCCUGGGUUCAAUCCCCAGUACCUCCU
Camelus ferus (Wild Bactrian camel) is the source of this 73-nucleotide transfer RNA. It matches the Rfam family "tRNA". Rfam says of the family: Transfer RNA (tRNA) molecules are approximately 80 nucleotides in length. Their secondary structure includes four short double-helical elements and three loops (D, anti-codon, and T loops). The record is from Rfam. Lineage: Eukaryota; Metazoa; Chordata; Mammalia; Artiodactyla; Camelidae.